RNAcentral lists this ribosomal RNA (499 nucleotides) under uncultured bacterium. RNAcentral's name for it is "partial 16S ribosomal RNA". It matches the Rfam family "Bacterial small subunit ribosomal RNA", at positions 30 to 523 of the family's 1533-position model. The record is from RNAcentral.
AUUGAACGCUGGCGGUAUGCUUAACACAUGCAAGUCGAACGAUGAGAAAGAGCUUGCUCUUUCGAUUAGUGGCGGACGGGUGCGUAACGCGUAGGAAUCUACCUAUUAGUGGGGGACAACUUAGGGAAACUUAAGCUAAUACCGCAUACGCCCUACGGGGGAAAGAAGGGGAUCGCAAGACCUUUUGCUAAUAGAUGAGCCUGCGUAGGAUUAGCUAGUUGGUGGGGUAAAAGCUCACCAAGGCGACGAUCCUUAACUGGUUUGAGAGGAUGAUCAGUCACACUGGAACUGAGACACGGUCCAGACUCUUACGGGAGGCAGCAGUGGGGAAUAUUGGACAAUGGGCGAAAGCCUGAUCCAGCAAUACCGCGUGUGUGAAGAAGGCCUUAGGGUUGUAAAGCACUUUCAAUUGGAAGGAAAACCUCGAAGCUAAUACCUUCGAGUUUGACAUUACCUUUAGAAGAAGCACCGGCUAACUCCGUGCCAGCAGCCGCCGUAA